Molecule: ribosomal RNA, 426 nt
Filed under: uncultured bacterium
Lineage: Bacteria
Description: partial 16S ribosomal RNA
Rfam family: Bacterial small subunit ribosomal RNA
Source: RNAcentral
GUGAGGAAUUUUCCGCAAUGGGCGAAAGCCUGACGGAGCAAUGCCGCGUGAAGGAUGAAGGCCUAUGGGUUGUAAUCUUCUUUUCUCAGAAAAGAAUUAUGACGGUAUCUGAGGAAUAAGCAUCGGCUAACUCUGUGCCAGCAGCCGCGGUAAGACAGAGGAUGCAAGCGUUAUCCGGCAUGAUUGGGCGUAAAGCGUCUGUAGGUUGUGUAAAAAGUAUUCUGUCAAAGAUUAGGGCUUAACCCUAGAUAGGCAGAAUAAACUUUUAAGCUAGAGUUUGGUAGAGGCAGAGGGAAUUCCCGGUGGAGCGGUGAAAUGCGUAGAUAUCGGGAGGAACACCAAAGGCGAAGGCACUCUGCUGGGCCAAUACUAACACUGAGAGACGAAAGCGAGGGGAGCAAAUGGGAUUAGAUACCCGGGUAGUCC